RNAcentral lists this ribosomal RNA (393 nucleotides) under uncultured bacterium. RNAcentral describes it as "partial 16S ribosomal RNA". It matches the Rfam family "Bacterial small subunit ribosomal RNA", at positions 523 to 918 of the family's 1533-position model. The record is from RNAcentral.
AUACGGAGGACGCGAGCGUUAUCCGGAUUCAUUGGGUUUAAAGGGUGCGCAGGCGGCCGUGCAAGUCAGCGGUGAAAGCCCGGGGCUCAACCCCGGAAGUGCCGUUGAUACUGCGUGGCUGGAAUGCGGUCGAGGCGGGCGGAACGUGGCGCGUAGCGGGGAAAUGCGUAGAUAUGCCACAGAACGCCGAUAGCGGAGGCAGCUCGCCAGGCCUGCAUUGACGCUCGGGCACGAAAGCGUGGGGAUCGAACAGGAUUAGAUACCCUGGUAGUCCACGCCGUAAACGAUGGGCGCUCGUCGUCGGCGACAGACAGUCGGCGGCCAAGCGAAAGCGAUAAGCGCCCCACCUGGGGAGUACGGUCGCAAGGCUGAAACUCAAAUGAAUUGGCGGGG